GGAUCAGUGUGUUGGUCAUGCCUUACGGGGUAUGAACUGGCAUCAUCGAUUUCUCACCUUCUAGAGAAUCGUGAUGCCCUUUAUUGGGUGUUACAUGGAUCCAGGAUCUUUACCUUGAAAAAAUUAGAGUGUUUAAAGCAGGCAUUAUUGCUCGAAUACAUUAGCAUGGAAUAAUAAAAUAGGAUGGUUUGGUUCUAUUUUGUUGGUUUCUAGGAUCACUGUA
Molecule: ribosomal RNA, 223 nt
Filed under: uncultured fungus
Lineage: Eukaryota; Fungi
Description: partial small subunit ribosomal RNA
Rfam family: Eukaryotic small subunit ribosomal RNA
Source: RNAcentral